RNAcentral lists this ribosomal RNA (774 nucleotides) under uncultured Neocallimastigales. Its description in RNAcentral is "partial large subunit ribosomal RNA". It matches the Rfam family "Eukaryotic large subunit ribosomal RNA", at positions 23 to 634 of the family's 3401-position model. Lineage: Eukaryota; Fungi; Neocallimastigomycota; Neocallimastigomycetes; Neocallimastigales. The record is from RNAcentral.
AGAGAGAGACAUGCGCGCAUAUCAAUAAGCGGAGGAAAAGAAACUAACAAGGAUUCCCUUAGUAACGGCGAGUGAAGCGGGAAGAGCUCAAAUUUGAAAUCUUCAAGGUUUUACCUUGACGAAUUGUAGUUUAAAGAAGUGUUUUCUGCUGAAGUUUUGGUAAAAGUUCUUGGAAUAGGACAUCAUAGAGGGUGAGAAUCCCGUAUUUGACCAUUAUUUUCAGCUUUGUGAUACACUUUCAAAGAGUCGGAUUGUUUGGGAAUGCAGUCCAAAAUGGGUGGUAAAUUUCAUCUAAAGCUAAAUAUUGGCGAGAGACCGAUAGCGAACAAGUACCGUGAGGGAAAGAUGAAAAGAACUUUGAAAAGAGAGUUAAACAGUACGUGAAAUUGUCAAAAGGGAAGCGUUUGACACCAGUGUUGUUUUCUCGAAAAUCAAUUAAAAAUGGCUCGAUUUUGUAUUGUUGAGACCUUAAAAGCUCACUGUACAUUUUUCGUGUCUUUUUUAAUGCACUUUUCGUUUAACAAGUCAACAUCAGUUUCUUUUGUUGUAAAAGGGUCAUUGGAAGGUGGCUUUCUUUUCGGAGAAAGUGUUUAUAGCCUUUGGCCUCUGCCAAUCGGAGAGACUGAGGUCUGCAGCGUAGACUCUUCGGGGUUAGAUACAUUUGUGCUAAGUUAUAGCUUUUUAUAGACAACUUGUUGACUAUAAUUAGUCUUGUAGCUUACUCGCUUAUGCUAUUUUACCUACGCUUAGGAUGUUGAAGAUGUAGCACAUCAU